CCUACGGGAGGCAGCAGUAGGGAAUAUUGCGCAAUGGGGGAAACCCUGAAGCAGCAACGCCGCGUGGACGAUGAAGGUCUUAGGAUUGUAAACUCCUUUUGUGAGAGAAGAUAUUGACGGUAUCUCACGAAUUAUGAAUGGCUAAAUCCGUGCCAGCAGCCGCGGUAAUACGGAGGGUGCAAGCGGUACUCGGAAGGACUGGGCGUAAAGUGUGCGGAGGCGGGGUUGUAAGUCAGAUGUGAAAUCUUGGCGCUUAACUAGAGAACUGCCUUUGAAACCAUGAGUCUAGAGUGUAGGAGAGGUAGGUGGAAUUCUUAGUGUAGGGGUGAAAUGCGUAGAUAUCAAGAGGAAUACUAGUGGCGAAGGCGACCUACUGGAACAUUACUGACGCUGAGGCGCGAAAGCGUGGGGAGCAAACAGGAUUAGAUACCCUAGUAGUC
This 440-nucleotide ribosomal RNA is filed under the name uncultured bacterium. RNAcentral describes it as "partial 16S ribosomal RNA". It matches the Rfam family "Bacterial small subunit ribosomal RNA", at positions 338 to 795 of the family's 1533-position model. The record is from RNAcentral.